GUAGGGUGCAAGCGUUGUCCGGAAUUAUUGGGCGUAAAGAGCUCGUAGGCGGUCUGUCGCGUCGGAUGUGAAAACCCGGGGCUCAACCCUGGGCCUGCAUUCGAUACGGGCAGACUAGAGUUCGGUAGGGGAGACUGGAAUUCCUGGUGUAGCGGUGAAAUGCGCAGAUAUCAGGAGGAACACCGGUGGCGAAGGCGGGUCUCUGGGCCGAAACUGACGCUGAGGAGCGAAAGCGUGGGGAGCGAACAGGAUUAGAUACCCUGGUAGUCCACGCCGUAAACGUUGGGCGCUAGGUGUGGGGAACCUUCCACGUUCUCCGUGCCGCAGCUAACGCAUUAAGCGCCCCGCCUGGGGAGUACGGCCGCAAGGCUAAA
RNAcentral lists this ribosomal RNA (374 nucleotides) under uncultured bacterium. Its description in RNAcentral is "bacterial SSU rRNA". It matches the Rfam family "Bacterial small subunit ribosomal RNA", at positions 527 to 898 of the family's 1533-position model. The record is from RNAcentral.